RNAcentral lists this ribosomal RNA (516 nucleotides) under uncultured bacterium. RNAcentral describes it as "partial 16S ribosomal RNA". It matches the Rfam family "Bacterial small subunit ribosomal RNA", at positions 28 to 523 of the family's 1533-position model. The record is from RNAcentral.
GACGAACGCUGGCGGCGUGCCUAAUACAUGCAAGUCGAACGCAUUGAGAGAAGUGCUUGCACUUUUCAAUUUGAGUGGCGAACGGGUGAGUAACACGUGGGCAACCUACCUGAUAGCGGGGGAUAACGAGUGGAAACAUUCGCUAAUACCGCAUAACAAUAGAGAAGGCAUCUUCUUUAUUUAAAAGGCGCUUUCAAGCGUCACUAUCAGAUGGGCCCGCGGUGCAUUAGUUAGUUGGUGGGGUGAAGGCCUACCAAGACGAUGAUGCAUAGCCGAGUGGAGAGCAUGAUCGGCCGCAUUGGGACUGAGACACGGCCCAAACUCCUACGGGAGGCGGCAGUAGGGAAUCUUCCACAAUGGACGAAAGUCUGAUGGAGCAACGCCGCGUGUGUGAUGAAGGCUUUCGGGUCGUAAAGCACUGUUGUAUGGGAAGAAAUGCUAGGCUAGGAAAUGAGCUUAGUUUGACGGUACCAUACCAGAAAGGGACGGCUAAAUACGUGCCAGCCGCCGCCGUAA